AGACUCCCUCCUCCGCUUCCCCGCACUGGAGACGCAGCCUCCUCUCCCCUCCUCUGCCUCUCUUGGCUGUUUCCUCAAAGUUUUUCCCUUUCAGACACUUAGGAAAGAAACUCUCCCUUCUGUUCUUAGGCUGCGUUUCAGUGAUAAAUUAGUCCCCGCGGACCCAGAGAGAACAGCAGAGGCAGAAACGAAAGAGAUGGAAACGAGCUGCAGUCCCUGAGUCCCCGAGACCAUCUUGAAUGCUGAGCAGGAACCAGCCAGGCUCAGCCCUGGCCCCUCGCCCCUUUCUCUGACUUUCUCAC
Molecule: long non-coding RNA, 302 nt
Filed under: Homo sapiens (human)
Lineage: Eukaryota; Metazoa; Chordata; Mammalia; Primates; Hominidae
Description: HSALNT0351823
Source: RNAcentral